AUAUCAAUAAGCGGAGGAAAAGAAACCAACAGGGAUUGCCUCAGUAACGGCGAGUGAAGCGGCAACAGCUCAAAUUUAAAAUCUGGCCCUUCCGGGGUCCGAGUUGUAAUUUGCAGAGGAUGCUUCGGCGUCGGCCCCGGGCCAAGUCCCUUGGAACAGGGCGUCCUGGAGGGUGAGAGCCCCGUACGCCCGGGCCGCCUUCGCCGUGUGAAGCUCCUUCGACGAGUCGAGUUGUUUGGGAAUGCAGCUCCAAGCGGGAGGUAAAUUUCUUCUAAAGCUAAAUACCGGCCAGAGACCGAUAGCGCACAAGUAGAGUGAUCGAAAGAUGAAAAGCACUUUGGAAAGAGAGUUAAAAAGCACGUGAAAUUGUUGAAAGGGAAGCUCUUGCCGCCAGACUUGCCGCGGUUGCUCAGCCGUCCCUUCGGGGUCGGUGCACUCUUCCGCCGGCAGGCCAGCGUCAGCUCGGGCGGCCGGAUAAAGGCCCCGGGAAUGUAGCCCCCCUCGGGGGGUGUUAUAGCCCAGGGUGCAAUGCGGUCAGCCCGGGUUGAGGCACGCGUUCGCUAGGACGCUGGCGUAAUGGCUGCAAGCGACCCGUCUUGAAACACGGACCAAGGAGUCUAACAUCUGUGCGAGUGUUUGGGCGUCAAACCCAUACGCGUAAUGAAAGUGAACGGAGGUGGGAACCCUCGAGGGUGCACCAUCGACCGAUCCUGAUGUCUUCGGAUGGAUUUGAGUAAGAGCAUAGCUGUUGGGACCCGAAAGAUGGUGAACUAUGCCUGAAUAGGGUGAAGCCAGAGGAAACUCUGGUGGAGGCUCGCAGCGGUUCUGACGUGCAAAUCGAUCGUCAAAUUUGGGUAUAGGGGCGAAAGACUAAUCGAACCAU
This 883-nucleotide ribosomal RNA is filed under the name Lecanographa dimelaenoides. RNAcentral describes it as "LSU rRNA". It matches the Rfam family "Eukaryotic large subunit ribosomal RNA", at positions 40 to 943 of the family's 3401-position model. Lineage: Eukaryota; Fungi; Ascomycota; Arthoniomycetes; Arthoniales; Lecanographaceae. The record is from RNAcentral.